This is a long non-coding RNA of Passer domesticus (house sparrow), 6965 nucleotides long. RefSeq lists it as uncharacterized. Lineage: Eukaryota; Metazoa; Chordata; Aves; Passeriformes; Passeridae. The record is from RefSeq and is a predicted model, not a curated record. The transcript has 3 exons.
AAUCCAGGGUAGUGGAGAGCACCUCAUAGCACAAACUUAUGCUGAUAUCAGCACUAAAGUCUUGUGCCUGCAUUUCAUACAGAGUCAGAAUGUUCCCAGCUGGCCCUUGCAGCCAACCACCCCCAUUACUACGGUGAUCAUUGCUGACUUUUCCAAUGCUCACUCACCUCAGUGCAGCACAAGAAGACUCAGGGGUGCCAGGGGAAGCAGAGCAGCCCACCUAUGGCUGAGCUUACCGUGUUCCCCACCACCUCCAAACUGAUUGUUUUGAGCCAGUCAGCCUCUCCUCCAGUCUCCUGCAGACUGUUAAACAAAAGUGAGCUCCGUGCCAGCCAAAGUCAGCAUUUUCCCAUUUCAAAAUGAGCAGCUAGGGAUGGAAUUCUCGGGAUUAUCAAGCAAGGAAAAUUCAUUGCCUUACACUGCUCAUUUAUUUGAAGUGCCACUGGCAAAUCACUGCUGCUCAAUGUGCUGAAGAAAAGCUGGCUUUCUCACCAUGUGUUGUUUACACUGGUAAAGUGUGCAUUAGACAGCAAUUUCUUCCAUCUAUUACAGUAUAUUUGGCAUUGCUCAGACUGGGAAGGUAAAAAUCCCUUUAUUUUGAUAUUUUCCUUACUAAUCUUAACACCCAGAAUCACUCUUAUUUUUAUGCGAGUGAAUUGAAAACAACUCAGGAAUUAAUGUGAACAUAUAUUAGAGUGGGAGGAAUGUCAGUUUCUGAGUUAAGUGUAUCAGGUGAUACAUGUCAAUUAUAGCAAGCAUUUUCUUCAGGGAAAAGGAAGAGCUGUAUCAGUAGUCUGAUAGCAGACUGAAGCUGAAGCAGUCCAUGUAGAAAAUCUCUUUGUUUGGUGGUGUUGGGUUAUCUUUAUAGAUGUGUAUGUACAUGGCAAUGAUCUUGGUAAUUUCUUUGGAAAAAAUUGUAGAAGAGUAGAUCUAAAUUUUGUGGAGAUCGAGUAUAGCAAUAACUAGGUUUUGAAGGUAACUGCUGUUUUUUUUCUCAUUUUCUUUCUAUUUUUGUUUCUUUUUCAUAGUUCUAAAACAAAUUAAGAACCGGAACUUCACUUUAAACACAUCUGCUGUAUUAUCUAACCUCAAAACUAAGCUUAGGCUGGAAAAUAAUAAGCAAUUUUUGAAUCAGAUUUCACCUGAUGUAUUUCUGGGUAUAAUGUCAGAAUGUCUCUGCAGUUCAUCUCAUUCUACUGCUGAACUCAGAAACACGUUCAAUCUGCACAGUCAUAUCUCCCUCUGUCCUUAGAGAGAUCCUUGAUGAAAGUACUAUCCCCUAGAUGAGGGCGUGCAGGCAAUAAUUCCAGGGGUCAAGUAGGCAUGUGUUGUGGUUUAAUCCAUCUGACAGCUAAACCACACAGCCAUUUGCUUAUUCUCCUCCAGUUAGAUAGUAGACAGGAUAAAAAAAAUUAAAAAAAAAGUGAUGCUUUUGUAGGUUGAGAUAAAGACACUUUAUGGACACAAAAAGAAGGCAAAAUAAUUAAAAUUGUAAAAGAAUACACACACACUAAGAGAUGCACAAUCCAAUUUGCCACCAAUUACUGACUAAGCAGUGUGUUACCACUCCCUGGCCAACUCCCUGCAGUUUUAUUGUUCAGCAUGGCUUUCUACACUAUGGAAUAUUCCUUUGUGUCGGCUGUCCUGGCUACGCUCCCUCACAAAUUCUUUUGCACUCCCGGCCCUCUUGUUGACUGGGCAGCGUAAGAGGCUGAAAAGUCUUAAUUUAGUGAAAGCACCUCUCAGCAGCAACUAAAACAUCAGUGUUUGUUAUCAACAAUUAUUAUCAUCCUAAGUCCAAAACACAGGACUUUACCAGCUGCUAGGAAAAUUAAUGAAGCCCAAACCAGGACAGCCUGCAUGUCUCCUACUACUUCUAGAAGCUUCUGUUUCCUUUCCUAUGUCCCUCAUGCUUAGCAAAAUGUCAUUCAGCUUCACUUAUCCAUGAAUAAAAAAACAGUCAUUCUUCUUGAUCCCACUGAAGCCUCAGAAAAAUACUAAUAUGUCACUAAUGGAGUUUUCAUGUUACCCGUUCAGAUUUCCAUCUUCAACAGCACUUCAGCAACUGAAUGCACAUCCAUUAGUCACCUUGAAUUCCUGUUAAGAGUUGUGUACUCCAUUAACCCACAAAACAUUCUCUUCUCUUCUCUUCUCUGAACAAAUGUUAUUAAACAGAGUUGCAAGAAAAGUGCCUCUAGUACACUGACCAUGUAAGAGAGUGUGCCCUCCCUGCACUUCUUAUCUUCACAAUGGUUUUAUGACAUGGAGGGAACACAAAUCACAAGUCUUUGGUAAAAGCCAAUUGCACUCUUGACUGAAAAGUAAGCAAUAAGAAAAUCUAUCUACACAAAAGAUAAGGGCUACUGUGCCAGGUCUUUCAGAUUCUUUCAGUAGGUAAAUUAGUUGAGCAUGGGUAGGAGAUAUUUGUAAAGAUAUAUACAUCAGUGGGUGACUGCUAAACCUUUUCAUUUAAGAAAUAGAACCUCAUGAAGAGCUUGCACAAGACUUUCUAACCAUAGGUGAGUAUUCCCAGGAUUAUGUGACUGAUGAAACGAAAAUCUUGUGUGAUUCCUUCAUUAACAUUGCAGUGAACACAGCUUAGUAUGUUUCCAAACAAGCUGGCAAUGUUCGAAGCCCAGCUAGAAUUCCAUAUCUAUAGAUAUGUACCAAGCUAGGCAGCCCACUCACAUCCUGGGUGUUGGCAGCUGGGGCUGCAGGGUGGUCUCUGUGAGGGGCUGCCAGGGUUGUCCUGUGCCAUACACAAAUGGCUCCUGCAGCUCCAGGUGACCCACUGGAGAGCAUGGCUGAGCCUGGAGCCAGGGCAGUGGCUCCUUGGGGAAAGGGCAGAAAACUGAGAAAGAGGAGGCAGAAUAGUCAAGCUCAAUAGUGAAGCUGAGCCUGUGAAGAAACAGUAUUUAGGGAGAAGGCAUUUUUUAUUUUGUGGUUGUUUUUCACUGUCCUGUCUCUUAUAAAUUGUCAACAAAUUAAAUUCAUCUUUCCCAAGUUGAGUCAGUUUUGCCCAUGACAGUGAUGGUUGCAGGUGAUCUCCCUGCCCUUGUCUUAGCCCAUGAAGUUUUUCAUCUUAUUUUUUCCCCUUCUGUAUCCAGCUGAAGAGGGAGAGUGAGACAUUGGCUGGGUGGACAUCUGGUAGCCGGACAAGGUCAACCCACCACACAUUCCACUAAACGGAAGAAAAAUGGACAAAACAUGUUUGUUGUUUUAAGGAACUUUAUUGAGAAGUGUAGCAAGUAUAAUAAAUGCAGUAACAAAAAGAUGUCAUUGUUCUUCAUUUACACUUUUUUUUAAAGAAUAAACUUGAAUAAAAGGUGCCAUUUUCUCUGCAAGUGAUAAUGGUCUAACAUGGAUUCUAAUUAUUUUGCUUGUUUAUAAAUAUUUUCUUCCCUUGCCAUUUAUAAGAUACUGCAUCAGUCUUUUCAGUUCCCUUUGGUUUUUCCUACUGCAAUAUUGCUGUAUUUGGUUUGUGUGGCCAGGUUUUGGCAGUGGAGGCACUGGAGGGGUGUCUCCUGUAAGGAGCUGCCAGAGGCUUCUCCUCUGUGCAGUAAAGUCAACGCCAGCCAGCUCCAAGACUGACCUGCUGGUCAAAGCUCCAAAGCCAAACCUGCUAACAGUGGCAGGAAUACCUCUGCCAUAACAGAUUUAAGAAGCAAACUAAACCCUGCAAUUACAGCCAGAGAGAGGAGUGAGAAUGUAUAAAGCUGCCUUUCAGACGCCCAGGUCAGGUAGGAAAGCAAGGGAUGAUGUGCUCCAGGCACUGGAGUUGAGAUUCCCCUGCAGCCCGUGGUACAGCCCAUGGUAAGGCAGCUCAGCUGUGCCCCUGCAGCCCAUGGAGGUUCACCAUGCAGCAGAGAUCCACCAGCUGCCCAUGGAGGACCUCAGGCCAGAACAAAUGGAUGACUGAAGGAGGCUGUGGCACUGUGGGAAGCCCUUGCUGGAGCAGAUAUCUGGCUGGAGCUGUAGACUUUUGGAGAGAAGAGUCUAUGCCGCUGGAAGGACAUGUGACCUUACAGAGGAUCCACGCUGGAGCAGAGGAAGAGAGAGGAGUCAUCCCCCAGGAGAAGAAGGAUUGGCACAUGUGAUGAACUGACUGCAGCCCCCAUUGCCUGUUCCCCUGCCUUGGGGUGAGAAGGCAGAGAAAACUGGAAAUAAAGUUAAGCAUGGGAGGAAGAGCAGGAUGGGGAAAAUGUGUUUUUAAGAAUUUUUUUUCUCUUAUUAUCCUACUCUGAUUUUAUUGGUAAUAAGUGAAAUAAAUUUUUCCCCAAAUAAGGUUUGUUUUGCCCAUGAUGGUAACUGAUGAGAGAUCCAGCCCUGUCUGCCCUUUUGCUGUAUUUCUCUCCCCUGUCCAGCUGAGGAGUGAACUAAUAGAGCAGCUUGGUGGGCACUUGGUAUCCAGCCAAGGUCAGCCCACUACAACCUUUCUGGUUUUUUCACAUCAUUCCUUCUACUUAAUAAGGAAUAAUAUAAUAUAUUAAUUAAAAAUAUACAUGUAUGAUUGAAGCCCAAAGAUUAUGAAUUUUGAUAUGAUUAUGAAGAAAUUCUGUAUUUGUUUCUCCAUGCUGGAUAGGUGGCAGAUGUGAAAACACUGCUAUUUAUGUCAAAAUAUUAGCAAGGAAAGACUUGCAAAGACGACAUCAGAGUGGUGAUAUGCCACAAAGCACUUCAGUCUCUGAAAAGACACCAAAAGAACCAUUCAAGGAUUAAAGACAGUUUGAAUAUAAACAAGUUUAUUAUUGAAGUAUCAAUUACUGCAUGCAUCAAAACAACUAAAUAAGGGUUACACUACAAAUGGUAACAUCAAAGCAAAAGAUAGCUCUAAUUUUUGUUGAAUACUAGCAUGAAAAAACAUUUUAAUGGAGCCUGUUUAUCAGUUCCUGUAUUUUCUUCUAAGAAGCUUCUUUAUCCCCCAUGGUAAUAGCUGCUGAGUGUCAUGAACAUUUUGAGUGAUGUCUUAUUCAAGAUGGAGAAAAAAGGUUUAGGCAGAACCGUGUGCCUCUGUAAAAUGGAACUUUAGGAACUUUAUUGGUUUUAAUUGUAAAGUUUGUAAUAUAAUGCAUCUGUAUGUAGACAGUACAUAUGUGUGUGCCUGUGUAUACAUAUUUAUAUAUACAUAGCCAAUGUGUCCGUGCACAAAUUUUAAUUAAAAAAAUCAUUAUACUUUGAAGACAUAUAUGAAGACAGGGUGCUCACUUCAGAAAUGAACAAUCUGUAAACCAGAUUGGAAAUCCCUUUAUCAGGAUACCUUUACCAUGCACAUAACCCAUCCCAUUAAUCUCAACAGAGAUGCCUGUCUCUGUAACUGUACUUCAAGCGAGUCAGGACUUGCCUGCUUGGCAUUAAGGAUGCACUUGUCAUGUCAUCUGUGUUACAUUUUAUACGAGAGGGAAUGCAAUUUGACCUUUAUUUUCUUAGUCUUUGAGAAUAAAUUAACAUUAAAUUUAAAAGAUAAAUGGCAUUGCCAUUAUAGGUUAUGCUGAAAAGAUUUUUCAUCUAUGUCAACUUGCUAAAUACUAUUUGUGCAUAAUACCAGCACAUAAACUCACACAAGUCUUGCUUUCAUUCCAUAUUCAGACUAGAUUCUAAGUAAUGUGAUUAUAACGCAUUCUGUGGAAAAAUGCUUUCAUCUAAAGCAAAAUAAAAUUAAUAUUGAUCAAUGAUCAAUACCUGACAAUGAUCAAUACCUGACAAUGACAUACCUGAUAAUCAAAAGCAAAAUCAGAAAUGAAGGGUAAUAUCGAUUAACAAACUUAAAUUGUCAGUUAAUUGGAUUUUCUUUCUCCCAGCUCCAAUUAUUGUUGUUCAUAAGAAGCCUCUAGACCUUAUCAAACUUUACAUGUCAAGUUCACUGGUUUUCUUUUCUAAGACAGACUUGUUUAUUUCACAGAUCAUGCCUGAUCCCAUGGGAAUUUCUAUCUUAAAUGACUAAAGUGUACCAUAUGUAUUAGAGACAUCCAUACUUUGGAAGUCAAAGUGAGUUGAUGUAAUUCCCAUUUAGCUGUGUUCUGGUACUAUCUUUAACUGUCAAAAUUUUUGGAACGUACUUGUUUGUUGACUGACACUUCUAUGUAUCUGUUCUUUUAACCUGCCAUUAUAAAGUUUAUCUCAUUCACCUGUGAGUAGUAUGAUUUUGGACCUUUUUUUCUUAUGAGUUAUGACAACAUUUCCACAGUUCCGCUUUUCUUUCCAGUAUUUAUCUUUUAUCACUCAUAACAGAGAUUCUCAUAACUGCCAAGGGGUGUCUGUUUUGUUUGUAUUGUUGAAUUCACUCUCUAGGAAAUACUGAGAUAGAUGGGUGCAAAUCCAUAAGAAAAUAAUCAAACAAUUGCUAAUUCCAGUCAAUUAAGUGAUAUCAAAAGAAAAAAAAUAGAGAUAAUGCUGUUCCAUUAGUAUAUUUGCAUUCAUUUAGUGUAGAUGUGAAAUUUGAAAGUCAGACUUUUUAAAUUGGCUGGUCCUAGUUCUGCCUAAACUGCUGUGUGAGUUCAAGCAACUCACAAGACUGCUGAGUGUCGAUAUUUAUGUAAAGGAGAAAAUGGUGCUCAUGAACUUAUGUGAUAUCUGUACUGUGCUUUGACUAAGUAUUUAUUUAAAAUGCUUUGAGAGUCUACUUGAAAAUGUCUUUGUUUGUGGAAGCUUUGUCUUCUCAUUCCUUUUCUCUAGAUGUGUGGUGUUUUCUCUACUUUGGAGUUCUGUAUUAUACAGUAUAUUAAGAGACUUUACCAUCUUAUACUGCGCAAAUAUUGAGGAGGCAGAAGUCAUACUUAAGUACCCAACACAUAGAAAGGAAAAUAUUUAAAUAUGGUUUGGCAACAGUGCAUAUGCUAUUUGUCCUCUUUCAGUGAGAGGAUCUCCUUCACAAAGUAGAAUAAAAUUCACUUUUACAGAUUUGCCAUAUUUUCUGACAAACUGUACCUGUAAUAAUGAACAGUACAUAUUUAGCUUUUGUGAUAUCC